RNAcentral lists this ribosomal RNA (468 nucleotides) under uncultured bacterium. Its description in RNAcentral is "partial 16S ribosomal RNA". It matches the Rfam family "Bacterial small subunit ribosomal RNA", at positions 28 to 507 of the family's 1533-position model. The record is from RNAcentral.
GACGAACGCUGGCGGCGCGCCUAACACAUGCAAGUCGAACGGAGUCAAGAGGAGCUUGCUUUUCUUGACUUAGUGGCGAACGGGUGAGUAACGCGUGAGUAACCUGCCCUGGAGUGGGGGACAACAGUUGGAAACGACUGCUAAUACCGCAUAAGCCCACGGAUCCGCAUGGAUCUGCGGGAAAAGGAUUUAUUCGCUUCAGGAUGGACUCGCGUCCAAUUAGCUAGUUGGUGAGGUAACGGCCCACCAAGGCGACGAUUGGUAGCCGGACUGAGAGGUUGAACGGCCACAUUGGGACUGAGACACGGCCCAGACUCCUACGGGAGGCAGCAGUGGGGGAUAUUGCACAAUGGGGGAAACCCUGAUGCAGCGACGCCGCGUGGAGGUAGAAGGUUUUCGGAUUGUAAACUCCUGUCGUUAGGGACGAUAAUGACGGUACCUAACAAGAAAGCACCGGCUAACUACGUG